RNAcentral lists this ribosomal RNA (480 nucleotides) under Triticum aestivum (bread wheat). RNAcentral describes it as "partial small subunit ribosomal RNA". Lineage: Eukaryota; Viridiplantae; Streptophyta; Magnoliopsida; Poales; Poaceae. The record is from RNAcentral.
AUGGAUUUUCUGAUGCAGCCAAUCAGCAGAUCCAGUCUGCUUGAGGAGGUAGGGGAUAGCUUGGUGCCGGCUCCUGUGGCUGUCAAUCUGGAAGUGGCACCGAAGGCGGAGCGGGAGGCGGCGCAGCAGCUGACGGUGGAUAGCGGCGAAGCACAAAUCUUGUUGGCGGAGGAGGUGGCGGCGAACAGAAGGGAGGGCUCGCCGCCAACGUCGGAGCUGUCGACGGGGAAGAUGAAUCCCCAAGCACCAGGGUGGAACAAAAGGCUAAGGGUUGGUGCUGCUGCCCCCAUCAGAACACCGUGCCCACCUCGUGCGAGUGCGUUUGAGAAGGCAGUCAGGUGUUUCGCGAAGAACCCAUCUGAAAAUGUGAUCACACCGUUUCUUAAUGGUACUUUCGACUCUGUGGCCGAGGUGUAUGACUUCUACAACUUGUUUUCGUGGGAGAAGGUUUUGGCAUCCGGUAUGGCAAGAGAUGGCUAA